This 435-nucleotide ribosomal RNA is filed under the name uncultured bacterium. Its description in RNAcentral is "partial 16S ribosomal RNA". It matches the Rfam family "Bacterial small subunit ribosomal RNA", at positions 29 to 507 of the family's 1533-position model. The record is from RNAcentral.
AACGAACGCUGGCGGCAUGCCUAACACAUGCAAGUCGAACGAUUGCCUUCGGGUGAUAGUGGCGCACGGGUGCGUAACGCGUGGGAAUCUGCCCUUAGGUUCGGAAUAACAGCUGGAAACGGCUGCUAAUACCGGAUGAUAUCGCGAGAUCAAAGAUUUAUCGCCUGAGGAUGAGCCCGCGUUGGAUUAGGUAGUUGGUGGGGUAAAGGCCUACCAAGCCGACGAUCCAUAGCUGGUCUGAGAGGAUGAUCAGCCACACUGGGACUGAGACACGGCCCAGACUCCUACGGGAGGCAGCAGUGGGGAAUAUUGGACAAUGGGCGCAAGCCUGAUCCAGCAAUGCCGCGUGAGUGAUGAAGGCCUUAGGGUUGUAAAGCUCUUUUACCCGGGAAGAUAAUGACUGUACCGGGAGAAUAAGCCCCGGCUAACUCCGUG